This 1700-nucleotide ribosomal RNA is filed under the name Minisyncoccota bacterium. Its description in RNAcentral is "bacterial SSU rRNA". It matches the Rfam family "Bacterial small subunit ribosomal RNA". Lineage: Bacteria; Bacillati; Minisyncoccota. The record is from RNAcentral.
UUAGCUUAGAGUUUGAUCCUAGCUCAGGGUGAACGCUGGCGGCGUGGAUAAGGCAUGCAAGUCGAGGGACCCCUCACCCAGUCUCGUAAAUAUUACAACUGGUGAGAACAACCAUGACCAAGUAUUUGUUGGUCUGGGUGAGGGGGACCGGCAGACGAGGUAGUAACACGUAGGAAUGCACCUCAUAGUCAGGAAUAACUACGGGAAACCGUAGCUAAUACUUGAUAGUCCCUCCCACCAACUUUGUUAUUGUCUUUUUAAGUAAGGGGUAAACCCCCACACCAACUUUGGCAUUAAGCCGGAGGCGGGUCGUGGUCGGGUUUGUCAUCUUAACUCGGGUAAUGUUAUUAGCUUCAAUAGCUUAAAUUACACGGCUUAAAAACUAGACGAUGCCAAAGUUGGUGUGGGGGUAAAGAUUUAUCGCUAUGAGAGCAGCCUGCGGAGUAUCAGCUUGUUGGUAGUGUAAAGGACUACCAAGGCUAUGACGCUUAGGGGAGGUGAGAGCCUGACCCCCACCGAUGGGACUGAGACACGGCCCAUACUCCUACGGGAGGCCGCAGUCGAGAAUCUUCCGCAAUGGGCGAAAGCCUGACGGAGCGACGCCGCGUGAUGGAUGAAGUUCUGCGGAACGUAAACAUCUUUUAUAGGGGAGGAAGUUUAUUGACGUUACCCUAUGAAUAAGAGGCACCUAAUCACGUGCCAGCAGGUGCGGUAAUACGUGAGCCUCAAGCGUUACCCGGAUUUAUUGGGCGUAAAGGGUGUGUAGGCGGUUUUGUUAGUCUCCUGUUAAAGCCUCUGGCUUAACCAGAGAAGUGCAGGGGAAACGGCAAAACUAGAGGAUGCGAGGGGUUUGUGGAACUCAUGGUGUAGGGGUGGUAUCCGUUGAUAUCAUGGGGAACACCGAAAGCGAAGGCAACAAACUGGCGCACUCCUGACGCUGAGACACGAAAGCGUGGGUAGCGAAUGGGAUUAGAUACCCCAGUAGUCCACGCCCUAAACGAUGUCCGCUGGCUUUUCGGAGUAUCGACCCUCUGAGAGGCGAAGCUAACGCGUUAAGCGGACCGCCUGGGUAGUACGGCCGCAAGGCUAAAACUCAAAGGAAUAGACGGGGGCUCGCACAAGCGGUGGAGCGUGUGGCUUAAUUCGACACUAAGCGAAGAACCUUACCAGGGCUUGAAACCGAGACGACAAUUCUGUGAAAGUAGAAUUUUCUUCGGACGGCUCGGCAGGUGACGCGUGGCUGUCGUCAGUUCGUGAUUUGAAUUGUUCCCUUAAGUGGGGUAACGAACGCAACCCUCAUUGCCUGUUACAAGUGUCAGGCGAGACUGCUCCCCCACGGGAGAGGAAGGCGAGGAUGACGCCAAGUCAGCACGUCCCUUUGAUGUCCUGGGCUGCACACGCGCUACAAUGGGUGAUACAACGGGGCGCGACGCCGAGAGGCUGAGCAAAUCCUUAUAAAGUCAUCCCCAGUUCGGAUUGAGGUCUGCAACUCGACCUCAUGAAGUUGGAAUCGCUAGUAAUCGCAGGUCAGCAACACUGCGGUGAAUACGUUCUCGAGCCUUGUACUCACCGCCCGUCAAGUCAAGGGAGCCGGGAGUACCCGAAGUCUCACUUUAUGUGGGCCGAAGGUAAGUUCGGUAACAGGGACUAAGUCGUAACAAGGCACGGGUAGCGGAAGCUGUUCGUGGAUCAAUUCCAAU